UUUCCCCUGCUGUGUUCGACAAGACCAUUUAUUCCUUGAACCAAUAUUUUGGCAUUGAGGUUGCUGAGCGUAGCGUCGCUGUUGUGCCUGUUCCAAGACGAACAAGCCUGAUGCGGCCGGGAGGCGACCGACUUGAACCUCAGGUUCAGGAUGCCGGUCUUGACGGCAUUUGCGGGGGUCCC
Molecule: non-coding RNA, 182 nt
Filed under: Burkholderiales bacterium
Lineage: Bacteria; Pseudomonadati; Pseudomonadota; Betaproteobacteria; Burkholderiales
Description: 6S RNA
Rfam family: 6S / SsrS RNA
About the family: E. coli 6S RNA was the first non coding RNA to be sequenced, but its function was unknown until recently. It consists of 184 nucleotides that fold into an extended hairpin structure with a large single-stranded internal bulge.
Source: RNAcentral